GGGGACGUCGUUUAGCCCGGAAAAGACCCUAGAUUGUCAAUCUAGUGAUCGUGGGUUCAAAUCCCAUCGUCCCCGCCA
This 78-nucleotide transfer RNA is filed under the name Candidatus Omnitrophota bacterium. RNAcentral's name for it is "Candidatus Omnitrophica bacterium (aquatic metagenome) tRNA-Asp". It matches the Rfam family "tRNA". Rfam says of the family: Transfer RNA (tRNA) molecules are approximately 80 nucleotides in length. Lineage: Bacteria; Pseudomonadati; Candidatus Omnitrophota. The record is from RNAcentral.